CAGUCGCCGCGGUAAUACGAAGGAUGCAAGCGUUACUCGGAAUUACUGGGCGUAAAGCGUGUGUAGGUGGUUGUUUAAGUCUGUCGUGAAAACCCUGGGCUCAACCUGGGAAUUGCGAUGGAUACUGGGCGACUAGAGUGCGGUAGAGGAUAGUGGAAUUUCCGGUGUAGCAGUGAAAUGCGUAGAGAUCGGAAGGAACAUCUGUGGCGAAGGCGACUAUCUGGGCCAACACUGACACUGAGACACGAAAGCGUGGGGAGCAAACAGGAUUAGAUACCCCGGUAGUCCCUGUCUCUUAUAC
RNAcentral lists this ribosomal RNA (301 nucleotides) under uncultured bacterium. Its description in RNAcentral is "partial 16S ribosomal RNA". It matches the Rfam family "Bacterial small subunit ribosomal RNA", at positions 509 to 807 of the family's 1533-position model. The record is from RNAcentral.